AGAGAACGCUGGCGGUAGGCCUAACACAUGCAAGUCGAACGGCAGCACAGUAAGAGCUUGCUCUUACGGGUGGCGAGUGGCGGACGGGUGAGGAAUACAUCGGAAUCUACUUUUUCGUGGGGGAUAACGUAGGGAAACUUACGCUAAUACCGCAUACGCCCUACGGUUGAAAGCAGGGGAUCUUCGGACCUUGCGCGAUUGAAUGAGCCGAUGUCGGAUUAGCUAGUUGGCGGGGUAAAGGCCCACCAAGGCGACGAUCCGUAGCUGGUCUGAGAGGAUGAUCAGCCACACUGGAACUGAGACACGGUCCAGACUCCUACGGGAGGCAGCAGUGGGGAAUAUUGGACAAUGGGCGCAAGCCUGAUCCAGCCAUACCGCGUGGGUGAAGAAGGCCUUCGGGUUGUAAAGCCCUUUUGUUGGGAAAGAAAAGCAGCAGGUUAAUACCCCGCUGUUCUGACGGUACCCAAAGAAUAAGCACCGGCUAACUUCGUG
Molecule: ribosomal RNA, 492 nt
Filed under: uncultured bacterium
Lineage: Bacteria
Description: partial 16S ribosomal RNA
Rfam family: Bacterial small subunit ribosomal RNA
Source: RNAcentral